AACGAACGCUGGCGGCGUGCUUAACACAUGCAAGUCGAACGGAAAGGCCCUGCUUUUGUGGGGUGCUCGAGUGGCGAACGGGUGAGUAACACGUGGGUAACCUGCCCUUGCCUUUGGGGUAACUUCAGGCAACUGGGGCUAAUCCCGGAUAGGAGCUCCUGCUGCAUGGUGGGGGUUGGAAAGUUUCGGCGGUUGGGGGUGGACUCGCGGCUUAUCAGCUUGUUGGUUGGGUAGUGGCUUACCAAGGCUUUGACGGGUAGCCGGCCUGAGAGGGUGACCGGCCACACUGGGACUGAGAUACGGCCCAGACUCCUACGGGAGGCAGCAGUGGGGAAUAGUGCACAAUGGGCGGAAGCCUGAUGCAGCAACGCCGCGUGCGGGAUGACGGCCUUCGGGUUGUAAACCGCUUUCGCCUGUGACGAAGCGUGAGUGACGGUAAUGGGUAAAGAAGCACCGGCUAACUACGUG
RNAcentral lists this ribosomal RNA (468 nucleotides) under uncultured bacterium. RNAcentral's name for it is "partial 16S ribosomal RNA". It matches the Rfam family "Bacterial small subunit ribosomal RNA", at positions 28 to 507 of the family's 1533-position model. The record is from RNAcentral.